RNAcentral lists this ribosomal RNA (255 nucleotides) under uncultured bacterium. Its description in RNAcentral is "partial 16S ribosomal RNA". It matches the Rfam family "Bacterial small subunit ribosomal RNA", at positions 524 to 776 of the family's 1533-position model. The record is from RNAcentral.
UACGGAGGGUGCGAGCGUUGUCCGGAAUCAUUGGGCGUAAAGGGCGCGUAGGUGGCCCGGUCAGUUCGUGGUGAAAGCGCGGGGCUCAACCCUGCGUCGGCCAUGAAUACUGCCGCGGCUGGAGCACUGUAGAGGCAGGCGGAAUUCCGGGUGUAGCGGUGGAAUGCGUAGAGAUCCGGAAGGAACACCAGUGGCGAAAGCGGCUUCCUGGUCCAGCACCGACGUUCAGGCACGAAAGCGUGGGGAGCAAACAGG